RNAcentral lists this ribosomal RNA (235 nucleotides) under uncultured bacterium. Its description in RNAcentral is "partial 16S ribosomal RNA". It matches the Rfam family "Bacterial small subunit ribosomal RNA", at positions 97 to 334 of the family's 1533-position model. The record is from RNAcentral.
GGCGGACGGGUGAGUAAUGUAUAGUUAAUCUGCCCUUUAGAGGGGGAUAACAGUUGGAAACGACUGCUAAUACCCCAUACUCCUUUUACAUUGAUUGUAAUUGGGAAACGUUUUUUCGCUAAAGGAUGAGACUAUAUGGUAUCAGGUAGUUGGUGGGGUAAGAGCCUACCAAGCCAAUGACGCCUAGCUGGUCUGAGAGGAUGAUCAGCCACACUGGAACUGAGACACGGUCCAG